CCCGCGCUCCUCCGGGCAGAGCGCGUGUGGCGGCCGAGCACAUGGGCCCGCGGGCCGGGCGGGCUCGGGGCGGCCGGGACGAGGAGGGGCGACGACGAGCUGCGAGCAAAGAUGUGCCCCGGGACCCCCGGCACCUUCCAGUGGAUUUCCUUGCGGAAAGGAUGUUGGCGGUCCCUGUGACCUGUGGAGACACGGCCAGAUCUGCCCUCCAGAUUUAUUAGGAGAAAAACCUUCCCGGAAGCUGCAGAAGGACAAAUACAGAAUCCGUGUCUGGGAGAAACCUCGUGGCCUGGUCUCCAUUAUUUGAGAUGAGUUACAUCUUGGAGGUGAGGACGUGCCUCGUGGUCUAAAGCUUCGGCACAAGGGCCCAACUGGAAUUCCACUUACGGGCCUGAUCUUUUGGCCAGAAGGAGAUUAAAAAGAUGCCCCUCAAGAUGGCUGUGCCUGUCAGCUGCAUGGAGCUUCGUUCAAGUAUUUUCUGAGCCUGAUGGAUUUACAGUGAUCUUCAGUGGUCUGGGGAAUAACGCUGGUGGAACCAUGCACUGGAAUGACACACGCCCGGCACAUUUCAGGAUACUAAAAGUGGUUUUAAGGGAGGCUGUGGCUGAAUGCCUCAUGGAUUCUUACAGCUUGGAUGUCCAUGGGGGACGAAGGACUGCAGCUGGCUGAGAGGGUUGAGAUCUCUGUUUACUUAGAUCUCUGCCAACUUCCUUUGGGUCUCCCUAUGGAAUGUAAGACCCCGACUCUUCCUGGUGAAGCAUCUGAUGCACGUUCCAUCCGGCGCUCAGCUGGGCUUGAGCUGACCAUACUCCCUGGAGCCUUCUCCCGAGGUGCGCGGGUGACCUUGGCACAUACAGCCAUCAUGAUGGUACUUUAAGUGGAGGCUGAAUCAUCUCCCCUUUGAGCUGCUUGGCACGUGGCUCCCUUGGUGUUCCCCUUUUACUGCCAGGACACUGAGAUUUGGAGAGAAUCCUGUUACACCUGGGAUUUAGGCACUUUCAAUCUGAAAAAAUACAUAUCCUUUCAGCACUCUGGACGGACUUGAGAACUGUCCUUACGUGACCUAAAGCUGGAGUAUUUUGAGAUUGGAGAAUUAAGGCCAACAGAGAUUUUGAGAAACACAUUGAAGGAUCUGUUAACACUUGAUAUACCCAAUAAAAGCAGUGGUUGUGCCAGUGCUGAUCUGUCUUGAUGUGAAUGUGAACAAUGGGAACCUGAGCUGAGCAGUUAAUGCUAGGGUGACAGAAACUGGACCUCUCCCAAGACAUGUGACAGAGUAAUACAGCAGCCAACUUCUUCGCCAAAUUAAAGUUUUACAAGAUUUAACCUGUCAUCAAGACCUGGGAUUUUGGUGAGCCAGUCUUGGUGCUCUGUGUUCACCUGGUUCAUCUGAGGAGCUGCAUCUACCCUGCCCAUGCCAUAGAUCCUGCCCUGUUUGCUUCUCCUGUUGCUGCUAGUGGACAUGAGAAGGACAGAAUAACGGGCUCCCAGAUUCACAAGCCCCACCAAGAGGAUCACCCCAGGAACGCUUGGAGGCUGAGGAGUUCACUGAGGCUACUGCAUCUUGAGACUCAGGAUGAAGACCCAGCUUGGGGCUGUCAAAGAGGCCUGAAGAGGCAGAACACCCCAGAGGAGCCUGGGGCCACCACCCAGCAUCACUGUGGGAAAACGGCAGCAGGAAAUGUCCUCUCGCCUGCGUGCUCCACCUCGGUCCACGCCUUCCCUCCUUCUGGAAGCCUUGCCUGACCACUGGCCUGCCCCUUCUAUGGGAAUCACUACUGACCUUGCAGCUUAUUAUAGACUUAUAUGUUUUUUGCAUGUCUGACACCCAUGACUCCACCUGGACCUUAUGGCUCCACCCAGAAGCAAUUCAGCCCAACAGGAGGACAGCUUCAACCCAUUACGAUUUCAUCUCUGCCCCAACCACUCAGCAGCAAGCACCUGUUACCUGUCCACCCCCACCCCUUCCCCCAAACUGCCUUUGAAAAAUCCCUAACCUAUGAGCUUUGAAUAAGAUGAGUACGAACUUCAUCGCCCACGUGGCGUGGCCGGCCUCGUGUCUAUUAAAUUCUUUUUCUACUACAA
This 2085-nucleotide long non-coding RNA is filed under the name Homo sapiens (human). RNAcentral describes it as "Pvt1 oncogene, transcript variant 33 (PVT1)". The stretch from base 34 to 211 matches the Rfam family "Pvt1 oncogene conserved region 1". The record is from RNAcentral. Lineage: Eukaryota; Metazoa; Chordata; Mammalia; Primates; Hominidae.